RNAcentral lists this unclassified non-coding RNA (17 nucleotides) under Mus musculus (house mouse). RNAcentral describes it as "oocyte_clustered_small_RNA10328". Lineage: Eukaryota; Metazoa; Chordata; Mammalia; Rodentia; Muridae. The record is from RNAcentral.
UGAAAAGGAAUACCCCA